ACCGCAGACCGCCUUAUCGUCGUUCCGGUGAAUAAUCGGGAGGGAGGAAAGUCCGGACACCAUAGAGCAGCAUAGCGGGUAAUGCCCGUCCGUCGAGAGAUGAGGACAAGUGCAACAGAAAGUAUGUACAGGUAAUGCUGUAGUGAAACCAGGUAAACUCUAUGCGGUGAAAUGCCAAGUAUAUCAGCAGUUUCCGGUUCGCCGGAAUAAGGGCGGCUCGUCCGAUGCUGAAGGGUAGGCAGCUUGAUCCCGAUAGUAAUAUCGGGACUAGAUAAAUGAUAAGGGUUCCGAUUUUAUCGGAAUACAGAAUCCGGCUUACAGGUCUGCUUUUUUU
RNAcentral lists this RNase P RNA (334 nucleotides) under Flavobacterium enshiense. RNAcentral's name for it is "RNase P RNA component class A". It matches the Rfam family "Bacterial RNase P class A". Rfam says of the family: Ribonuclease P (RNase P) is a ubiquitous endoribonuclease, found in archaea, bacteria and eukarya as well as chloroplasts and mitochondria. Its best characterised activity is the generation of mature 5'-ends of tRNAs by cleaving the 5'-leader elements of precursor-tRNAs. The record is from RNAcentral. Lineage: Bacteria; Pseudomonadati; Bacteroidota; Flavobacteriia; Flavobacteriales; Flavobacteriaceae.